CCGCCCGCUGAAUGCAUUUUUUACAUUAAUUUCUCUGCGGAAGACGAAAGAACUUUUAAUUAACAUUGCAUUAGGUUAGAUUACACUUGCGGUAUGAUGUCCCUGAAAUAGACCCGAAUUUAUUGCGAUCUAAAGUCAUAUAGAACGCCAACGCCUUUCGUGACACUCAACGAUUUUGAAGCUUUCUUUAGUACUUUUGACUGCGAAGCUCCAAGACGCCAUACGAUGUGAGUUUUUUGCAUUGCUGGCUAUCUGAGCAGCUCCUCCUGGUAAAUAUCCUGGAAGCUUUAGCGGUUGAAUCAGGUGACGCCAUUUUGGAUCCAGCGGUGUAGGUGUUAUACGUUCUCCUGGCAUGUCCAAACUUCUUGCGCAUGUGCCCUGUUUGAACGUGGCUUGAAUUAUUAUCCCCUCUCCCUGCAGCUGCAGUGCUCACCACUGCGGUGUCGGUUGGUGAUAUAAAAUGUCAGCUACCACCACUAGGAUUUAUGUGUGACCAUUGAUUGAUAGCUUCAUCCAGUUAAUCCUCCAGGGUUUCUACGCAGGGACUUUGUGAACAGUAACACAUCCGUUUUGUCACCAUUUACCUCUAAGCCCAUCGAGAUUUCUAUUGCUUUACUACUGGCAUUUAAGAACCUUUGGAAUACCUUUGCAGAAUAAGUGAGGUUAUACUAAAUGGUUUGUUUUAAUUUACUUUAUUUGCUUGUAUAAAUGGUUUCAAGAGCACAGGGCUGUAUUUUGACAACUGUCAAGCUUAAUUGUUAAACCAAACAUGUUUUGUUUUAGAUAAAAGUUAGGUAUUUUAUUGUAAGUAAUUGAAAGUGUUAUUGAAAGUGUAGCCGUAGACCUGAAUGAGUCUUUUUCUCAAUAGCUUGGGCGUAAUUUGCACUUGGACUUGUAUCUACAUCCGCAUCAAAUCCAGCUUAAACAACAACAAAAUCCACCUCAUCACUCACAACGCCCCAAAUACGUCGAUUGGGUGCUUGAACAAUAAGCAGUGGACCGCGAAAAAACUCGAGAGAUAUGUAAAUAAGCUCAAUUGCUCAGAGAAUCCUCAAAUAAUUGAAGAGCUACGAUUAAAUUGAAAAAACUUACUGUCUGCUGCACUCCUUGUUUCUGUGGAGUGAUUGAACCUUACUUACUUACUGUAUGGCAACCCAACUUUAUUUGAAGACACUACUUUGACAAUAAAAGGUUCCAACAACCAUGCCAUCGAGAUCACAUUUAUGCGGAUAAACCUUUAAAUUCGUGAGCACUUGAAUGCCAACAUUCGACCAGUCAUGGCUGUGAUACCGCUCAAUAUGUGCCAAAAAGUCGUCGAAAAUUAUCUCAAACAGAUCGAAGUUUGCGGAAAUUCGCGAGGCGUUCA
Long non-coding RNA from Ceratitis capitata (Mediterranean fruit fly), 1366 nucleotides. RefSeq lists it as uncharacterized. NCBI's taxonomy places the organism in Eukaryota, Metazoa, Arthropoda, Insecta, Diptera, Tephritidae. The transcript has 3 exons. The record is from RefSeq and is a predicted model, not a curated record.